This 372-nucleotide ribosomal RNA is filed under the name uncultured bacterium. RNAcentral describes it as "bacterial SSU rRNA". It matches the Rfam family "Bacterial small subunit ribosomal RNA", at positions 522 to 895 of the family's 1533-position model. The record is from RNAcentral.
AAUACGUAGGGGGCGAGCGUUGCCCGGAUUUACUGGGCGUAAAGCGCACGUAGGCGGCUCCGUAAGUCUGGUGUGAAAUCUCCCGGCUCAACCGGGAGGCUGCACUGGAUACUACGGGGCUCGAGGGCAGGAGAGGAGAUUGGAAUUCCCGGUGUAGCGGUGAAAUGCAUUGAUAUCGGGAGGAACACCAGUGGCGAAGGCGGAUCUCUGGCCUGCUUCUGACGCUGAGGUGCGAAAGCUGGGGGAGCGAAAGGGAUUAGAUACCCCUGUAGUCCCAGCCCUAAACGAUGGGCGCUAGGUGUUGGGGGCGAAGCCCUCAGUGCCGCAGCUAACGCAUUAAGCGCCCCGCCUGGGGAGUACGGCCGCAAGGUU